GAGUGCAAGCGGCGCUCUGCUAAAACUGUCGAUAUAGGAAGAUGAAGCAGCCGCAACACCAUGUGAUGCUUGGUACCUGUUUGCACUUCGACGAUGAUAGAACCACGUGCUUACCGCGCGAAAUGUCGACGCCGGGCGACAAAAGGUAAUAGAGCCGAAGUGAAAGAAAGCAGAAGGGAACAGCCCGCCGUCACGGGACCACCGGCAGAAGCGCUGGAGCCAAGCGCGUCCCCCCGUGCGUCGCCUGCCGCGACAGAGGUCACCUCGCCGCAGAGAUAGG
Long non-coding RNA from Dermacentor albipictus, 280 nucleotides. RefSeq lists it as uncharacterized. The record is from RefSeq and is a predicted model, not a curated record. NCBI's taxonomy places the organism in Eukaryota, Metazoa, Arthropoda, Arachnida, Ixodida, Ixodidae.